RNAcentral lists this microRNA precursor (86 nucleotides) under Branchiostoma floridae (Florida lancelet). Its description in RNAcentral is "mir-2060 microRNA precursor family". It matches the Rfam family "mir-2060 microRNA precursor family". The record is from Rfam by way of RNAcentral. Lineage: Eukaryota; Metazoa; Chordata; Leptocardii; Amphioxiformes; Branchiostomatidae.
AUUUGUUCAUGGUGUUCAGCACCAAGGACAGGCAUGUUUGACUAUUUGUCGAUGGUGUUCAGCACCAAGGACAUGAAUGUUUGGCU